Molecule: transfer RNA, 69 nt
Filed under: Polypterus retropinnis (West African bichir)
Lineage: Eukaryota; Metazoa; Chordata; Cladistia; Polypteriformes; Polypteridae
Description: tRNA-Asp
Rfam family: tRNA
About the family: Transfer RNA (tRNA) molecules are approximately 80 nucleotides in length. Their secondary structure includes four short double-helical elements and three loops (D, anti-codon, and T loops).
Source: RNAcentral
AAGAUAUUAGUUAAAUUAUAACACUGCCUUGUCAAGGCAGAAUUACGAAUUAAACUCUCGUAUAUCUUG